UGGGGAAUUUUACGCAAUGGGCGAAAGCCUGACGUAGCGACACCGCGUGAGCGAAGAAGCCCUUUGGGGUGUAAAGCUCUGUCGGCAGGGACGAAUAAAUGACGGUACCUGCAAAGGAAGCAUCGGCUAACUACGUGCCAGCAGCCGCGGUAAGACGUAGGAUGCAAGCGUUGUCCGGAUUCAUUGGGCGUAAAGAGUUCGUAGGCGGUUUGUUAAGUCUGAUGUUAAAGAUCAGGGCCCAACCCUGAGAGUGCAUUGGAUACUGGCAGACUGGAGUGCAGUAGAGGCAAGUGGAAUUCCCAGUGUAGCGGUGAAAUGCGUAGAUAUUGGGAAGAACACCGGUGGCGCAGGCGACUUGCUGGGCUGUAACUGACGCUGAGGAACGAAAGCUAGGGGAGCAAAUGGG
RNAcentral lists this ribosomal RNA (406 nucleotides) under Bacillota bacterium. RNAcentral describes it as "Firmicutes bacterium partial 16S ribosomal RNA". It matches the Rfam family "Bacterial small subunit ribosomal RNA", at positions 355 to 776 of the family's 1533-position model. The record is from RNAcentral. Lineage: Bacteria; Bacillati; Bacillota.